Molecule: ribosomal RNA, 216 nt
Filed under: Glomeromycotina sp.
Lineage: Eukaryota; Fungi; Glomeromycota
Description: partial small subunit ribosomal RNA
Rfam family: Eukaryotic small subunit ribosomal RNA (bases 40-216)
Source: RNAcentral
GGGUCAGUAGGUUGGUCGUGCCACCGGUACGUACUGGCCUCACUGAUUCCUCCUUCCUGAAGAACCGUAAUGCCAUUAAUUUGGUGUUGCGGGGAAACAGGACUGCUACUUUGAAAAAAUUAGAGUGUUUAAAGCAAGCUAACGCUUGAAUACAUUAGCAUGGAAUAAUGAAAUAGGACGAUCGAUCCUAUUUUGUUGGUUUCUAGGAUUGACGUA